RNAcentral lists this ribosomal RNA (490 nucleotides) under uncultured bacterium. RNAcentral describes it as "partial 16S ribosomal RNA". It matches the Rfam family "Bacterial small subunit ribosomal RNA", at positions 29 to 507 of the family's 1533-position model. The record is from RNAcentral.
AAUGAACGCUGGCGGCAUGCCUUACACAUGCAAGUCGAACGGCAGCAUGACCUAGCUUGCUAGGUUGAUGGCGAGUGGCGAACGGGUGAGUAAUGCAUCGGAACGUGCCUUUUAGUGGGGGAUAACGUAGCGAAAGUUACGCUAAUACCGCAUAUUCUCUGAGGAGGAAAGCAGGGGACCUUCGGGCCUUGCGCUAGAAGAGCGGCCGAUGUCGGAUUAGCUAGUUGGUGAGGUAAAGGCUCACCGAGGCAACGAUCCGUAGCGGGUCUGAGAGGAUGAUCCGCCACACUGGGACUGAGACAAGGCCCAGACUCCUACGGGAGGCAGCAGUGGGGAAUUUUGGACAAUGGGCGCAAGCCUGAUCCAGCCAUGCCGCGUGAGUGAAGAAGGCCUUCGGGUUGUAAAGCUCUUUCGGCUGGGAAGAAAUCGCACCCUCUAAUACAGGGUGUGGAUGACGGUACCAGCAUAAGAAGCACCGGCUAACUACGUG